RNAcentral lists this ribosomal RNA (635 nucleotides) under [Candida] sp. Levazot16. RNAcentral's name for it is "SSU rRNA". It matches the Rfam family "Eukaryotic small subunit ribosomal RNA", at positions 860 to 1522 of the family's 1831-position model. The record is from RNAcentral. Lineage: Eukaryota; Fungi; Ascomycota; Saccharomycetes; Saccharomycetales.
UAAUAGAGUAUAAUAGGGACGGUCGGGGCCAUCAGUAUUCAGUCGUCAGAGGUGAAAUUCUUGGAUUGACUGAAGACUAACUACUGCGAAAGCAUUUGCCAAGGACGUUUUCAUUAAUCAAGAACGAAAGUUAGGGGAUCGAAGAUGAUCAGAUACCGUCGUAGUCUUAACCAUAAACUAUGCCGACUAGGGAUCGGGUGGUGCUACUUUGCCCACUCGGCACCUUACGAGAAAUCAAAGUUUUUGGGUUCUGGGGGGAGUAUGGUCGCAAGGCUGAAACUUAAAGGAAUUGACGGAAGGGCACCACCAGGAGUGGAGCCUGCGGCUUAAUUUGACUCAACACGGGGAAACUCACCAGGUCCAGACGUAAUAAGGAUUGACAAGUUAGAGACUUCUCUUGAUCUUACGGGUGGUGGUGCAUGGCCGUUUUUAGUCCUUGGAGUGAUUUGUCUGCUUAAUUGCGAUAACGGACGAGACCUUAACCUGCUAAAUAGGGCUGCGAGCAUCUGCUCGGGUGCUCUUCUUAGAGGGACUAUGGGUAUCAAACCCAUGGAAGUUUGAGGCAACAACAGGUCUGUGAUGCCCUUAGACGUUCUGGGCCGCACGCGCGCUACACUGACGGAGCCAGCAAGUCC